GGUGAGUGAAUAAAAAGCGGUUUCUGGGCUGGUGCGGCGGCGGUAGAGAUCCGGGAGGCGGGGAACGGCGGGGAAGUGGCGGAGGUCGGGAUCCAUCCCGGCGGUUCGUAGUGUAGGCCGGCCGCGGCGGCGCUCCGGUUCCCCGAUCCGAUCGGUAGCAGGACGGCAGCGGCAGAGUUCCAGGAGGUGGGGAACGGUGGGGAAGUGGCGGAGGUCGGGAUCCAUCCCGACGGUUCGUACUGGAGGCCGGCGGCGGCGGUGCUCCAUGGCUGUGGCGACUCGGUCGUCUGGGAAGAAGAUACAAGGGAGGGAGACGAGGUGAGAUGUAGAGAAGAGAAGGGAGAAUAGGGACUGCGCGGCUACCUGCUGCUGGUCCGACGGCGGCUCCGGUCGUCGGAUCAGGCCAACUCUUGAUGGAUUUCCAAUGUGUUGCUGGCCUCCCAAUUUUUUCGGUCGUGCAGCCGCUCCCUGGCUCCCUGUGUCAUCCCAAGAUGGUCCGGCUGGGCGCUGUCCUGACGGCUGAGCGUGUGCUAUCCACGGAACACAGCUCCUCCACCCAGGCCCUCAUCCGCAACGCCGGCGAGGACACUACUUCGUCUGAACCGAUUAUCACAACCACGCACAGGAGCUCUAUGGCACAUGUAACAGGUCUUGGACAUGAUGGCCGGACGCGAUGAGGAGGACAUACUGGAUCCCCAUGGAUGCCAAGGAUUCGAGGACAUUGGCAGAUGUAGAGGAGGCAAUGAGGACAGACAUGAUUGCGGCACACAAUUUAAAUAAACCAGAAUAUCCUGAAAAUUAUAUUUGGUGUAUAGAAUUCAGUUUUAGUCUUUGAGUACAUUUUCAUCAUUCACUAACUCCAGUAGUGAGUAAAAAUAUAUAAAACUACGUGACUUGUAAAUUUUUGUGUCUGUCGUGCGUCCCAACGAUUCCAUCGGCAUCGUGCCUCCCCUACCCUGGUGCGGACUGCAGUAUUAGCGGUCUCCUUGCAGUCCUGAAGCAGCUCAAGGGCAUCGUCCUUGGAGCGCCUCCUCAAGGCUUGAUGCUUUCUUCAGGAAAAAAUGGUUCUUUUCUUUGAGAUGAGGAAAAUUACUUCCCUUUCUACAGGAAAAGAUGGUUCUGUUAGAUAAAUGCCUUCCCAUGUUAAAGGCACAUGGCUCUGAAGUACUAAUAUUCUCUGAGGUACUGAUUCUCUCUAUUACUCAUGCACCUAGCUUGGUUGCUUCACAAAGCAUCAUGACUAUGAUAAAAAUAUGAUAGCAAUCAUGAGUUACAGAAAUUCUUCUUGUGAGGUGAUUUUGUGCCCAUGCUCACAUUCUAUCUUGAGUUUUGUGACCCAUAUUAUGAUAUCUUCUUUGCGUAUUCAUGAUUGUGUGGAGCUUGCAAGACUAAUUCAUGCAGGCUUCUUAGCUUUUCAUUUUUUAUAUUUGCCACAAGCAUGCUUUGCUAUGUUAUGCAUGAUCUUCUUGCCCAUCUCAUACUUUCAACUCUCCCUUCUCAUUAUAUAGUGAAAAUGUAAUCUUAAAUCAUGACCAGAAAAAAAUGUGCAGGUUCUACAUGUUUACUUGCAUGCUAUUUUUUUACAAGGGUACCAUAACAUGUGAAAAUUUUGAAGACCGUUGUGAAGAUUUGUGGGAGCAGCUCCGACUCCAAUUAAAGAAGUUCCACGCAGCGGGCAUGAAGAUUGGUCACAUCUGUAUGUAUAGUUGUGCUGCAGGACAUGUGCUAUUCUGAAAAUGGAGCUUCUCUAUUGGAUGGCAGCUCAUGAUGGUAGUUUCAGAUAUGAAGCUAAGGAAAGCGCGCCUCAUAAUUCAUUAGAUGUAACCUAGUAGGGCCAAUUAGAUAUUGUUGGUUGUAAAUGACAUGAGUUUUUAGCUUUCAUAAAAUCUAGAUAUGUACUCUUUAACAAUAAGCUGUGGAGGAGAGUGGUCUUAAAUGUGCUGGUUGAAUUUACCAAAGUUGGUUCA
Molecule: long non-coding RNA, 1967 nt
Organism: Triticum aestivum (bread wheat)
Lineage: Eukaryota; Viridiplantae; Streptophyta; Magnoliopsida; Poales; Poaceae
Exons: 4
Source: RefSeq, a predicted model, not a curated record